GUGCUUGCUUUGGGAGCACAUAUACUAAAAUUGGAAUGAUACAGAGAAGAUUAGCAUGGGCCCUUUGCAAAAAUUAUUUUAAAACAUUAAAAUUUUAA
Molecule: small nuclear RNA, 98 nt
Organism: Nomascus leucogenys (northern white-cheeked gibbon)
Lineage: Eukaryota; Metazoa; Chordata; Mammalia; Primates; Hylobatidae
Source: Rfam